Molecule: unclassified non-coding RNA, 337 nt
Filed under: soil metagenome
Description: partial contains 5.8S ribosomal RNA, internal transcribed spacer 2, and large subunit ribosomal RNA
Rfam family: 5.8S ribosomal RNA (bases 1-120)
Source: RNAcentral
GAUGAAGAACGCAGCGAAAUGCGAUAAGUAAUGUGAAUUGCAGAAUUCAGUGAAUCAUCGAAUCUUUGAACGCACAUUGCGCCCCUUGGUAUUCCGGGGGGCAUGCCUGUUCGAGCGUCAUUUCAACCCUCAAGCUCUGCUUGGUAUUGGGCACCGUCCUUUGCGGGCGCGCCUCAAAGACCUCGGCGGUGGCGUCUUGCCUCAAGCGUAGUAGAAUACACCUCGCUUCGGAGCGUAGGGCGUCGCCCGCCGGACGAACCUUCUGAACUUUUCUCAAGGUUGACCUCGGAUCAGGUAGGGAUACCCGCUGAACUUAAGCAUAUCAAUAAGCGGAGGA